RNAcentral lists this ribosomal RNA (416 nucleotides) under uncultured bacterium. RNAcentral describes it as "bacterial SSU rRNA". It matches the Rfam family "Bacterial small subunit ribosomal RNA", at positions 358 to 772 of the family's 1533-position model. The record is from RNAcentral.
GGAAUAUUGGUCAAUGGGCGGGAGCCUCAACCAGCCAAGUCGCGUGAGGGAUGACGGCCCUAUGGGUUGUAAACCUCUUUUGCCGGGGAGCAAAGUGCCGCACGUGUGCGGUUUGGAGAGUACCCGGAGAAAAAGCAUCGGCUAACUCCGUGCCAGCAGCCGCGGUAAUACGGAGGAUGCGAGCGUUAUUCGGAUUUAUUGGGUUUAAAGGGUGCGUAGGCGGACGCUUAAGUCAGCGGUAAAAUUGCGGGGCUCAACCUCGUCGAGCCGUUGAAACUGGGUGCCCUGAGUGGGCGAGAAGUACGCGGAAUGCGUGGUGUAGCGGUGAAAUGCAUAGAUAUCACGCAGAACCCCGAUUGCGAAGGCAGCAUACCGGCGCCCGACUGACGCUGAAGCACGAAAGCGUGGGUAUCGAA